AGAGUUUGAUCAUGGCUCAGGACGAACGCUGGCGGCGUGCCUAAUACAUGCAAGUCGAGCGAGCGGAACCAACAGAUUUACUUCGGUAAUGACGUUGGGAAAGCGAGCGGCGGAUGGGUGAGUAACACGUGGGGAACCUGCCCCUAAGUCUGGGAUACCAUUUGGAAACAGGUGCUAAUACCGGAUAAUAAAGCAGAUCGCAUGAUCAGCUUUUGAAAGGCGGCGUAAGCUGUCGCUAAGGGAUGGCCCCGCGGUGCAUUAGCUAGUUGGUAAGGUAACGGCUUACCAAGGCGACGAUGCAUAGCCGAGUUGAGAGACUGAUCGGCCACAUUGGGACUGAGACACGGCCCAAACUCCUACGGGAGGCAGCAGUAGGGAAUCUUCCACAAUGGACGCAAGUCUGAUGGAGCAACGCCGCGUGAGUGAAGAAGGUUUUCGGAUCGUAAAGCUCUGUUGUUGGUGAAGAAGGAUAGAGGUAGUAACUGGCCUUUAUUUGACGGUAAUCAACCAGAAAGUCACGGCUAACUACGUGCCAGCAGCCGCGGUAAUACGUAGGUGGCAAGCGUUGUCCGGAUUUAUUGGGCGUAAAGCGAGCGCAGGCGGAAAAAUAAGUCUAAUGUGAAAGCCCUCGGCUUAACCGAGGAACUGCAUCGGAAACUGUUUUUCUUGAGUGCAGAAGAGGAGAGUGGAACUCCAUGUGUAGCGGUGGAAUGCGUAGAUAUAUGGAAGAACACCAGUGGCAAAGGCGGCUCUCUGGUCUGCAACUGACGCUGAGGCUCGAAAGCAUGGGUAGCGAACAGGAUUAGAUACCCUGGUAGUCCAUGCCGUAAACGAUGAGUGCUAAGUGUUGGGAGGUUUCCGCCUCUCAGUGCUGCAGCUAACGCAUUAAGCACUCCGCCUGGGGAGUACGACCGCAAGGUUGAAACUCAAAUGAAUUGACGG
This 942-nucleotide ribosomal RNA is filed under the name uncultured bacterium. Its description in RNAcentral is "bacterial SSU rRNA". It matches the Rfam family "Bacterial small subunit ribosomal RNA", at positions 8 to 916 of the family's 1533-position model. The record is from RNAcentral.